CCUGGCCCCGCGGCGCACCGAGGUUUCCGGCGAGCGCGGUGGCGGGUGUGGAGACUCCCUCCUCCUCGCGGCCCCGGUCUGCCGUCUCCGCGGCUCCAGGUGGGCCUCGCCGCGACCCCCGAGCUGCGCCCGCGCUCUGCGCUGCCCGGCCGCGGCCUCCGGGAGGGCCGAGCCUCCGCGCGCCUCCCCAUUCCCUGCCGCAGGGACGGCGGCGGGCACCCCUCCUGGCCCGCCCGUUCCGCGCCUGGCCUCCCCGGCGCCGGCUGGGGCGCGCAGGGCCCCGGAUCACGCGGGCCGCCGGCAGCGCCCAGUCGGCCGUGUUUCCCAGGCCCUCCCGGGUGCGCCCGGGUCCCCGGGUGGCCGCGCCCAGGCGGUCCCGGGAGAGCCUGGCCGGGGUCGCCAACAGGGCGCAGUGUCUGCGCGGCGCCAGGGCGCUGGCUGCCGGGCCCGCCAGACUGGGGAGGGGGCUGGUGUGGUGGCAGACAGCUGGGGGACCCCGUCCCGGCUGCCAAGCCCUUUCUGAGCCCUGCUCAUACCCACCGCGGGACUUGGCGACACAGGUGGGGACCCGGCAAUUAGGAGUCCUUGCAUCUCAGUUGCAUCUGGCUCAGAGCUCUGUCACAGAGAGCUGCGUGUGUCGCCACUGUGGCUCCGUCCCCCCCAGGUUUCAUCUCUCGUCAUUUGUUAGAUUUUGCCGUUUUCCCUCUCUGCUUCUAGGCCUGUGGAAGUCCCAUCAAGGGACCGGGAGGUGGAGGAGGCCAGCCCUGCUGGCUGGAGAUAGGCAGCACAGCUCCCAGCGCUGCCCACUGCUGGACCCCCUGGACCAUCGUCGCUCCCCUGCCAGGCACAUGCAAGAGGACAGACCCCAGAAAGACUCUGCUUUCACACACCCGCAGCCGCCAUCCAGUUUAAGCCAGGGGUAGGUUUAGCAUCUGCCUCUUUACAUUUUCCCUAAAAUUUAGAUGCCCAAGUGUUACUUUUCUCCUGGGAUGGGUUCACUUAGGGCCAGAGCUCCCUCAGGACAAUGGACUUACAUAACCACAGUUUGGGCCUGGGUCAAGACAUUGAAUGACUUUGUUACCCCAAGGGCCAGCCAAAGGGUAGGAUAGCCUGUCCACACACCUCCAGGCCACUGGCAGCUCUGCAGAGAGCAGGACAAGUUUGCCCUGCUGAGGGAUGUCCUCUCUUGGCCUGUACCAUCCAUGGCUGUGCAAAGAGGGCAGUCACCUUCCUGCUCAACAGCCCACUUUGACGACCAGGUCACUGUAUUGAGGGCUGGGCCUUGAGUUUGCUUUGAGACCUGUGGCUUUUAGGGACGAAAAGAGAGACUGUCCCAAGCUGGGCUUCCUGGCUAAGCCUCGUGAAUUAUUUUCUCUCAUUAUAUUUCCUUUCAAUCAGGUCAUCUCCCAAACAUCAAAGUCUACGUUAGCAUGCUCUUGAGGUGAUGUUUUUUGUUGUUGUUGUUGUUUGUUUGUUUGUUUUUUUCCAACAGGGUUU
Molecule: long non-coding RNA, 1497 nt
Filed under: Marmota monax (woodchuck)
Lineage: Eukaryota; Metazoa; Chordata; Mammalia; Rodentia; Sciuridae
Source: RNAcentral